Molecule: ribosomal RNA, 253 nt
Filed under: uncultured bacterium
Lineage: Bacteria
Description: partial 16S ribosomal RNA
Rfam family: Bacterial small subunit ribosomal RNA
Source: RNAcentral
UACGUAGGGGGCAAGCGUUAUCCGGAUUUACUGGGUGUGAAGGGAGCGUAGACGGUUAUGCAAGUCAGAAGUGAAAGCCCAAAGCUCAACUUCGGGACUGCUUUUGAAACUGUGUAACUAGAGUGCAGGAGGGGUAAGCGGAAUUCCUAGUGUAGCGGUGAAAUGCGUAGAUAUUAGGAGGAACACCGGCGGCGAAGGCGGCUUACUGGACUGUAACUGACGUUGAGGCUCGAAAGCGUGGGGAGCAAACAGG